GCUCCGCCGUAAACUUGGUCCUAAAUCUCUUUUUCAACAGCCCAACUCCACUCCCGCCGCCCCCGCUAGAACUCGGGUUCGACACGUCAUCCCCUUCCUCCCUGCUGUGCGACCCGCCCGACCCAGCCGCGGGCAAGGCCAGAGGUCUAUGCGGCUGCGCCGGGGUCAGGUGGAGGUAACCCGAUGGCGUGGGCGGAUAAGGGUGGCGGUAGUAAGCUGAGAACGGCUGCUGGGUGUGUUGGUGGGGAAGAAUGGCCCCACCACCUCCUUCCGCGGGCUCCUUCCGGUGGAAAUUGCGGUGGCAGUUGCACGCGGCGCAUUUGAGGGCGUCGAGCGUGCCCUCCUCUCCGGCCGCAAGGAACUCGCAGCAACCAUCG
RNAcentral lists this long non-coding RNA (377 nucleotides) under Rosa chinensis. RNAcentral describes it as "sRNA RchiOBHm_Chr7g0237611". Lineage: Eukaryota; Viridiplantae; Streptophyta; Magnoliopsida; Rosales; Rosaceae. The record is from RNAcentral.